GGCUCAGAGUGAACGCUGGCGGUAGGCCUAACACAUGCAAGUCGAACGGCAGCACAGAGGAGCUUGCUCCUUGGGUGGCGAGUGGCGGACGGGUGAGGAAUACAUCGGAAUCUACUCUGUCGUGGGGGAUAACGUAGGGAAACUUACGCUAAUACCGCAUACGACCUACGGGUGAAAGCAGGGGAUCUUCGGACCUUGCGCGAUUGAAUGAGCCGAUGUCGGAUUAGCUAGUUGGCGGGGUAAAGGCCCACCAAGGCGACGAUCCGUAGCUGGUCUGAGAGGAUGAUCAGCCACACUGGAACUGAGACACGGUCCAGACUCCUACGGGAGGCAGCAGUGGGGAAUAUUGGACAAUGGGCGCAAGCCUGAUCCAGCCAUACCGCGUGGGUGAAGAAGGCCUUCGGGUUGUAAAGCCCUUUUGUUGGGAAAGAAAUCCAGCCGGCUAAUACCUGGUUGGGAUGACGGUACCCAAAGAAUAAGCACCGGCUAACUUCGUGCCAGCAGCCGCGGUAAUACGAAGGGUGCAAGCGUUACUCGGAAUUACUGGGCGUAAAGCGUGCGUAGGUGGUCGUUUAAGUCCGUUGUGAAAGCCCUGGGCUCACCUGGGAACUGCAGUGGAUACUGGACGACUAGAGUGUGGUAGAGGUAGCGGAU
RNAcentral lists this ribosomal RNA (654 nucleotides) under Stenotrophomonas sp. E2. Its description in RNAcentral is "bacterial SSU rRNA". It matches the Rfam family "Bacterial small subunit ribosomal RNA", at positions 21 to 665 of the family's 1533-position model. The record is from RNAcentral. Lineage: Bacteria; Pseudomonadati; Pseudomonadota; Gammaproteobacteria; Lysobacterales; Lysobacteraceae.